CUGUGAGCUGAUGUAACAGAACCUAGUCGCUUGGCUUUCCUCCGAGUGCGCUGUGAUGCUACUCAGCAAUGAUGCAUCAGCAGGAGUUCAAAACGAGAUGGUGGGUUGGGUAAUUGGCCUUGUAAAUUGGGGAGAAAAUGGGAAGAAAAAUCACUAGCUUCUUAUAAUUCAAGCUCAUGUGGCAACAAGUGAGAGAUAUAUAUUCAUGAAGGAAUGAAGAAAAUUUAAAAUCUGACAAUAUUUAAGUUAAAGUAACUGAAAUUCAAUCGUAAUUGUCUUAAAUAAUAGCAUAGUAUAGUAAGGAGAGUACACCCAUGCUAACAUGCUAAACUAGCUCCACUGCAGUCAUUAGCCUAUCUUCCAUUUCUCAGGGUCAUGGAGCAGUAAGUGGGUGGUGAGCUUCUCCAGAAAAGACAUCUGCGUCUGGGCCGGAACCACAGUAACGCUGCCCUGCCGCUACGAUUACCCGUCGCCCUACUCUGCCAAGCAGGUGAUAUGGUUCCACAUCACAGCGGACGGCAGAUGGGACAUAGCCUACCACACAGACGCUAACAUGGUGAGCCCCUCCUACAGAGACAGGAUCAAGUACAUGGGGGGCUACAAGAGGUGCAGUCUGCAGAUCACCAACGUUAAGCUGAGCGAUGACGGCCAGUACCACUUCAGGUUCGAGACGGACCAGCCGCAGAGCAGGUGGACCUCACCAGACUCCAUCAGUCUGUCAGUGACGGUUCUGCAGGUACAAGUGCGUCCAGCUCGUAUUGGGAACAUGUUUGCUUCAGGAGAGACUGUGUUUCUGAGCUGUGUAGCUCGAGGCUGUGCAGCCGCCAGCAGGAACUUCGCCCUUUAUCGGAAUGGGGUCAACUUAGGAUACGCAGACAAGGUGUCCACCAUCUACAACUUCAACAACCAGCAUGCUGGUACCUACUACUGCAGACCAGUCCCCCCCCAGAACGUCCAGUCCCCAGGCAUCACCCUGGCUGUGGGAUGUGAGUAGAUAAUAAUAUGCUUUAAGACUUUGUUUGACCUCUGGUGCUAAGCUUGACUAAAAACACCAAACAGUUAGUGUUAAGUUCUUCUGUAAUUCCAAACAACUGUAAUGUGGUUUUCUGAUACUGUUUUACACAGUGUUAUCUGUAAAAAAUUACAAAAUUAUGUUGGAAUUAUAAGUGGGUUGAGUAAUUGGCUGUGCUAAAUUGGAGAGAAAAAAGGAAAAAAAAAA
This 1219-nucleotide long non-coding RNA is filed under the name Astyanax mexicanus (Mexican tetra). RNAcentral describes it as "lncRNA (ENSAMXG00005018922.1)". The record is from RNAcentral. Lineage: Eukaryota; Metazoa; Chordata; Actinopteri; Characiformes; Acestrorhamphidae.